CCAUUCCCCACUCCAGCUAUGUC
This 23-nucleotide microRNA is filed under the name Canis lupus familiaris (dog). Its description in RNAcentral is "Cfa-Novel-6_5p (mature (guide))". Lineage: Eukaryota; Metazoa; Chordata; Mammalia; Carnivora; Canidae. The record is from RNAcentral.